This is a long non-coding RNA of Strigops habroptila (Kakapo), 2207 nucleotides long. RefSeq lists it as uncharacterized. The record is from RefSeq and is a predicted model, not a curated record. The transcript is spliced from 5 exons. Lineage: Eukaryota; Metazoa; Chordata; Aves; Psittaciformes; Psittacidae.
GGUCAGCACUUGGAAAGAUCUGAAAGCCUGUUCCUUUUCGCUUAUGCCGUGUAAAGGCACCUGACCUUUCAGUGAUCCUAAUUUCUCUUGCUUUCCUCUUCCCUUCACCCUCCAUCCAGCCUAUUAUUUAUCGAAGUGGAAUGGAAAUUUCACACUCCCCUUUCUUUUUUCUUCCAAAAUAGUUUUUAAAAUAAGUGACCAAAGACAGUGAUGACACAAGUUAAAGUGCAGGUUACCUUGCUAAUUCACCAGGAACUUUCUCUUUUCAGAGCAAACCUGUUCUGUAGAAUUUGGAGCUGCAUGUAUUGCCAUGCUCUGGCUUGCACCAGGAGAAACCAGCUAAUGCCAUGCACUGAGCUCACUCCCCAGAACUCAGCAGCAGCAGACAACCGCCACAGCUUUUUCCUACUCCAGUGCUGGGAUCCAGGGAGGUCCACUAGCACACACAGAAACUCUGCUUUUCUGUGAGAACUGAGAUUCAGGCAUAAUCCUCAUGUCUGUGAAGUAAAUCUCCUUGAUGCUAGCCCGGAUGCAGACCAACUCUGGAGUCUGCUUUGAAGCAGGGCUUUGAACUUGCCCUGCUGCUGGGGUGAUAGUGAACCUGGAUGUCCCCUGGCUCAGCAGAGGAUAAGGGUCUCGGUCUGGCUUCCUAAAUCAAAGCAGGAGAUGAGCAAUGCCUCCAUCUCCAUAAGCAGGGUGUUGUGGAGAGAUGCAGCCCACACCCUGUUAAGGAGAUGUGGGAAGAGGCAGUGGAGGUAUGAGUGGGCACAGAGAGACCAGGUGUGAAACCACAUUUGCUCCCUUCCUGGCUCUACUCUCAGGACUGAGUUGUGAUGGAACCAGCAAUGCCUUGAGUGCUCCCAAUGACCCAGUAACCGAUGGGCCUGAGGACUUCAAACAGGUACUAAUUCCAAGAAACUGGAGUUUGGUUGGGAAGAAGAAGAAGGAAUAAAGCCCAGAGGAAGAGGCAUUUGGAGAUGGAAGAGCAGCUGCCUUACCUCAGUCACCAGGAGCUGGCUGAAGGGGAUCUUCGUGGAUAUUUCCUUUGGAAGGAUGGUAUUCAACCGCUGAAAUACAAAGCCAGGUUUGCAGAAGUCAGUGAAUAAAGGAAGACAAAAAAACCCAAACAAAAAACGUGGUGAUGAUUGUAAAUAGGAUGCCCACAGUGACAGGAGCCAAGGUUGGAGACAUGGUGCUGGGCUGAUGUGAUAGGAGAGAAACAAGAAGAUACAGGAGGAAUAUCCAGAAAGUGUUUCCACACUGCAAAAGGUUGGCAUAGAAGAAUAAAAGACAGGGUAAGUACUGGAUCUCUACUAAGGACUAGUGUAAGGUAUUGCCCAUCAGAUACUUCAAACUAACUGAUUCAGUCUCUCUUGUCAUAAGUUUAUUGGCUGCAGUACUACUUCUGAGUCAGCCCAGGUACUGAGCUAUGCUGUAGCGUUAGUCAAAAGCAAUACAAUAAUAGUGUAAAAGUUGCAGGAGGUGAAUACAAUUACUAGAAAUGCUAUUGAUGGCAUUACUUGUUUAUUUAGUAGACAGAAUUUAGAAUGGGAAUAAGGAUUUGUCUGUCACCAUCACAUCAGCCAUCAGUUCAGCACUGCCCUAGGCAAUGAGUAUGCUGUUACUAAUUUUAGUUUGAUUUGUUGUCGUUCAGUCCAGAUAAUUUUUGAGGUUCAUUUAGUUGCUGUUAAUAAAAAAAAAAAAAAAGACAGAAAUACUGUGUACUGGCAAGGGAGGGUACUCAGAAAUCCACUCCUUAAAUCACAGUCCCUUCAGGUUUUGCUAGUGACAUGACAGUGAGUUAGUUAUUUCCUUCAGAGACAGGAGCAACAACUUGACUUCUCUUCACGACUUGGUGCUUCCUCUCGGCGGACCAGUGUCACAGCCACAUCCUGCAGACUGCAUUGCAUUUGCACUGCCUUCUGAAAGAGCACUUCUGAUGCUGAGCACUGGAGGGUUCAUACUUAAGAGGAAGAGGUUGAUAGAAAAUGUAGUAGAGGUACUCAAAAUAAUGAUUGAAGAUGAAUGAGUUGCUGUUCUGCACAGUCUCUAAAUGCCAUCAUUAGAUCUAACUGGGUAGUUGGCUGGUGGAAGGAGGUGUUGCCUUUGCUUGAGAAGUGAUUAAACUGUGCAAUUCACUUUCAUGGGAAAGUGAGUCAGAAUUUUCUGAGAUUUAAAAAGACUCUACUUGUCAUUUCUUUAUUUAU